Molecule: long non-coding RNA, 402 nt
Filed under: Ictidomys tridecemlineatus (thirteen-lined ground squirrel)
Lineage: Eukaryota; Metazoa; Chordata; Mammalia; Rodentia; Sciuridae
Description: lncRNA (ENSSTOG00000034771.1)
Source: RNAcentral
UGGCGUGCUUUAUUUACAAACCCCAGACACCAGCUCAUGCAUUAUUAAGGAGAGAAGGCAGCCUGCCCUGAGCCCUGGCCAGGAAGGACAGCUAGCAGGGGACACAGUCGGAUGUUCUCAGGAUGCGCACACCUUCCUGGAAUAGCUUACGACAAAGACAGGAAGAGUAAUCAACUAACAGGAAUCAGCGACUCUGAAGAGGAGAAGCCCUGAGUUAGGAGAAGACAAAGAGCGACACAGGGAACAUUCUGGAAGUCAGGCUCUCUGGUGCUGCCCAAGCCACUGACUUGCCUUAUGAAUAUCUGCUUUGCCUAACCUUCCUUUAGGAAAUGUAUGAGAAGGUGUGAAAAUGACUUGGGAAAAUAGUUGAAGUACUUUUUUAAAUGUAGAAGAAGCAUUUAA